Molecule: long non-coding RNA, 269 nt
Filed under: Anas platyrhynchos platyrhynchos (common mallard)
Lineage: Eukaryota; Metazoa; Chordata; Aves; Anseriformes; Anatidae
Description: lncRNA (ENSAPLG00000031237.1)
Source: RNAcentral
GAACACCACAGUUGCUGGGUUCCAAAGUCUACAGCUGUAAGAAGGUAUUUUGCCCCGCAAUAUGGUAAGAACUUUCUUUUAAAUUUGAUUGAUCCUAUCUGCAAAGAAAACUGAAACUUAAAAGAAAGAGUCAAAGAACUGUGAACCACCAGAUUUCACCAGCUGUUCAGUUCUGGCAUUUUUGUAUUGGACCCAGUCUUCCUGGGACUCCUGAUGGAUUCAAUUUUUUGGUUGCUGCCAGGUGAAGAAACUAAAUCGGCCUCAUUCUU